AAAGUUUGUUUCUUGCUCACAGAAUUCUGGUGAGCAGCUGCCCUCCAAGUGAUGACUGAGCAAUUCAUACUUUUUCUAUCCUGUAGCUCUGCUGUCUUUACACACUGCUUUCUGAGUCAGGGCUGCAGAGCGUGAAACACGCACACUAGCUUUUAACUAUAUAUAACUCGUACUCAUGGGCCAUUCGCCAGAAUGGUCUCGUGGCUCCAACUCAACCAAGGGGACAGGGUAGUAAAUCCCCCACGUACCUAGGAAGAAAAGAAGAACAUGUUAGUGAGUCCUGACCUGGAGAGGAUCCAGCUCCUGUAACGACUGAGGCCUUGUGAGUAUUCCAAGGAACUCCGUCCACUGCCUGUGACUUAGAACAUCUGCGUGAAUACAGAAAAGUUCAGCCGGACACCUGGAUGCUCUGUCCAGUCGAUACUCGACAUCUGAGGGUUUCCAGAAGCCUCCAAGCCUGGGGCCACGUCUGCACAGUUCAGGGAGAGGAAGUUUGACUCACUUGAGUUAUUUGAUCCAUGUGGACAGGCGCUGUGGGUCCCCAGGAAGCCACAGCAGCAUUCUUGAUCGCCCAGUGGUCUGUGGCUGAGGUUUCUGCCGAGAUCAUUGCCAAAGCCCACUUCCUUGUGUUCUGGAGCACUUUGAAUACAUCAGCCCACUGCCUUCUGGCCUCCAAGGUUUCUGAGAAGAAAUCGGAUGAAACCUUAUUAAGGAUCCUUUGCCAAAGAAAGUGGCUUAGCUGGGCCCAGCCUCAUUUCCUGCCAACUCAUAUGUUCCGAAGAGCCCGUAAGUCUCAUGGUUCCCUGUCCCCAAGCCGUCCUGCCUCCGUGAGGCUGCGCUUGGAAAGCCCUCGCUUUAUCUUGUUUUCCAGGUAAACUCCCAGCCAUCCCUUUAUGCCCAGAUCUGAUGU
RNAcentral lists this long non-coding RNA (910 nucleotides) under Equus caballus (horse). RNAcentral describes it as "lncRNA (ENSECAG00000059871.1)". Lineage: Eukaryota; Metazoa; Chordata; Mammalia; Perissodactyla; Equidae. The record is from RNAcentral.